Non-coding RNA from Pholiota molesta, 100 nucleotides. The record is from the annotation of a GenBank genome assembly. NCBI's taxonomy places the organism in Eukaryota, Fungi, Basidiomycota, Agaricomycetes, Agaricales, Strophariaceae.
GGCGCUGUAGUGUAGCGGUUAUCACUCAAGAUUCUGAUAAAGAUCCCCCAUUACUCUUUGAUGAAUUCUUGUAACCCCGGUUCGAAUCCGGGCAGUGCCU